RNAcentral lists this ribosomal RNA (467 nucleotides) under uncultured bacterium. RNAcentral describes it as "partial 16S ribosomal RNA". It matches the Rfam family "Bacterial small subunit ribosomal RNA", at positions 28 to 507 of the family's 1533-position model. The record is from RNAcentral.
GACGAACGCUGGCGGCGUGCUUAACACAUGCAAGUCGAACGGAAGGCCCUGCUUUUGUGGGGUGCUCGAGUGGCGAACGGGUGAGUAACACGUGAGUAACCUGCCCUUGACUUUGGGAUAACUUCAGGAAACUGGGGCUAAUACCGGAUAGGAGCUCCUGCUGCAUGGUGGGGGUUGGAAAGUUUCGGCGGUUGGGGAUGGACUCGCGGCUUAUCAGCUUGUUGGUGGGGUAGUGGCUUACCAAGGCUUUGACGGGUAGCCGGCCUGAGAGGGUGACCGGCCACAUUGGGACUGAGAUACGGCCCAGACUCCUACGGGAGGCAGCAGUGGGGAAUAUUGCACAAUGGGCGGGAGCCUGAUGCAGCAACGCCGCGUGCGGGAUGACGGCCUUCGGGUUGUAAACCGCUUUCGCCUGUGACGAAGCGUGAGUGACGGUAAUGGGUAAAGAAGCACCGGCUAACUACGUG